This 138-nucleotide unclassified non-coding RNA is filed under the name soil metagenome. Its description in RNAcentral is "partial internal transcribed spacer 1". The record is from RNAcentral.
CCUAGAGUUGUAGGCUUUGCCUGCUAUCUCUUACCCAUGUCUUUUGAGUACUUACGUUUCCUCGGCGGGUCCGCCCGCCGAUUGGACAAUUUAAACCAUUUGCAGUUGCAGUCAGCGUCUGAAAAACUUUAAUAGUUA